RNAcentral lists this transfer RNA (66 nucleotides) under Lomis hirta. RNAcentral describes it as "tRNA-Ala". The record is from RNAcentral. Lineage: Eukaryota; Metazoa; Arthropoda; Malacostraca; Decapoda; Lomidae.
CAAACUAUAGUUUACAUAAAACAUAUGAUUUGCAUUCAUAAAAUGCUUAAGAUUAAGCUAGUUUCA